UCGAGCGAACGGAUGAGAAGCUUGCUUCUCUGAUGUUAGCGGCGGACGGGUGAGUAACACGUGGAUAACCUACCUAUAAGACUGGGAUAACUUCGGGAGACCGGAGCUAAUACCGGAUAAUACUUUGAACCGCAUGGUUCAAAAGUGAAAGACGGUCUUGCUGUCACUUAUAGAUGGAUCCGCGCUGCAUUAGCUGGUUGGUAAGGUAACGGCUUACCAAGGCAACGAUGCAUAGCCGACCUGAGAGGGUGAUCGGCCACAAUGGAACUGAGACACGGUCCAGACUCCUACGGGAGGCAGCAGUAGGGAAUCUUCCGCAAUGGGCGAAAGCCUGACGGAGCAACGCCGCGUGAGUGAUGAAGGUCUUCGGAUCGUCAAACUCUGUUAUUAGGGAAGAACAUAUGUGUAAGUAACUGUGCACAUCUUGACGGUACCUAAUCAGAAAGCCACGGCUAACUACGUGCCAGCAGCCGCGGUAAUACGUAGGUGGCAAGCGUUAUCCGGAAUUAUUGGGCGUAAAGCGCGCGUAGGCGGUCUUUUAAGUCUGAUGUGAAAGCCCACGGCUCAACCGUGGAGGGUCAUUGGAAACUGGAAAACUUGAGUGCAGAAGAGGAAAGUGGAAUUCCAUGUGUAGCGGUGAAAUGCGCAGAGAUAUGGAGGAACACCAGUGGCGAAGGCGACUUUCUGGUCUGUAACUGACGCUGAUGUGCGAAAGCG
RNAcentral lists this ribosomal RNA (717 nucleotides) under uncultured Staphylococcus sp. Its description in RNAcentral is "bacterial SSU rRNA". It matches the Rfam family "Bacterial small subunit ribosomal RNA", at positions 62 to 761 of the family's 1533-position model. The record is from RNAcentral. Lineage: Bacteria; Bacillati; Bacillota; Bacilli; Caryophanales; Staphylococcaceae.